This 252-nucleotide ribosomal RNA is filed under the name uncultured bacterium. RNAcentral's name for it is "partial 16S ribosomal RNA". It matches the Rfam family "Bacterial small subunit ribosomal RNA", at positions 524 to 776 of the family's 1533-position model. The record is from RNAcentral.
UACGUAGGUCCCGAGCGUUGUCCGGAUUUAUUGGGUUUAAAGGGUGCGUAGGCGGGAUGCCAAGUCAGCGGUAAAAAUGCGGUGCUCAACGCCGUCGAGCCGUUGAAACUGGCGUUCUUGAGUGGGCGAGAAGUAUGCGGAAUGCGUGGUGUAGCGGUGAAAUGCAUAGAUAUCACGCAGAACUCCGAUUGCGAAGGCGGCAUACCGGCGCCCUACUGACGCUGAGGCACGAAAGCGUGGGUAUCGAACAGG